Non-coding RNA from Jatropha curcas, 228 nucleotides. The record is from RefSeq and is a predicted model, not a curated record. Lineage: Eukaryota; Viridiplantae; Streptophyta; Magnoliopsida; Malpighiales; Euphorbiaceae.
UAUCUAUCUAACAUGAACUUCUUUCUUCUUCUCCUCCAUUUUAACUUUAGCCUCUCUUUCUCUUCUCUUUGUUUUCUUCACUUAUACUCACAAAAUCCACCAAUUUGACACCAUUCAACUUGAUCUAAUAAUCAAUCUUUGAGAUUAAAGCUUGAGAAAUGAUAUUUGGUGAAUAAUUUCAAGUAAUUUGGAGGACAAAGGGUGGAGAAUUUCCUACCAAAGACAAGG